This 518-nucleotide ribosomal RNA is filed under the name uncultured bacterium. Its description in RNAcentral is "partial 16S ribosomal RNA". It matches the Rfam family "Bacterial small subunit ribosomal RNA", at positions 28 to 507 of the family's 1533-position model. The record is from RNAcentral.
GACGAACGCUGGCGGCGUGCCUAAUACAUGCAAGUCGAGCGAGUCUGCCUUGAAGAUCGGAGUGCUUGCACUCUGUGAAACAAGAUACAGGCUAGCGGCGGACGGGUGAGUAACACGUGGUAACCUGCCCAAGAGAUCGGGAUAACACCUGGAAACAGAUGCUAAUACCGGAUAACAACAGAUGAUGCCUAUCAACUGUUUAAAAGAUGGUUCUGCUAUCACUCUUGGAUGGACCUGCGGUGCAUUAGCUAGUUGGUAGGGUAACGGCCUACCAAGGCGAGGAUGCAUAGCCGAGGUGAGAGACUGAUCGGCCACAUUGGGACUGAGACACGGCCCAUACUCCUACGGGAGGCAGCAGUAGGGAAUCUUCCACAAUGGACGCAAGUCUGAUGGAGCAACGCCGCGUGAGUGAAGAAGGGUUUCGGCUCGUAAAGCUCUGUUGUUGGUGAAGAAGGACAGGGGUAGUAACUGACCUUUGUUUGACGGUAAUCAAUUAGAAAGUCACGGCUAACUACGUG